AUUGAACGCUGGCGGAAUGCUUUACACAUGCAAGUCGAACGGCAGCACGGACUUCGGUCUGGUGGCGAGUGGCGAACGGGUGAGUAAAGCAUCGGAACGUGCCCAGUAGUGGGGGAUAGCCCGGCGAAAGCCGGAUUAAUACCGCAUACGACCUAAGGGUGAAAGGGGGGGAUCGCAAGACCUCUCGCUAUUGGAGCGGCCGAUGUCAGAUUAGCUAGUUGGGGGGGUAAAAGCUCACCAAGGCGACGAUCUGUAGCUGGUCUGAGAGGACGACCAGCCACACUGGGACUGAGGCACGGCCCAGACUCCUACGGGAGGCAGCAGUGGGGAAUUUUGGACAAUGGACGAAAGUCUGAUCCAGCCAUGCCGCGUGCGGGAAGAAGGCCCUCGGGUUGUAAACUGCUUUUGUACGGAACGAAAAGGUCUCUCUUAAUACGGGGGACUCAUGACGGUACCGUAAGAAUAAGCACCGGCUAACUACGUGCCAGCCGCCGCGGUAA
RNAcentral lists this ribosomal RNA (500 nucleotides) under uncultured bacterium. RNAcentral's name for it is "partial 16S ribosomal RNA". It matches the Rfam family "Bacterial small subunit ribosomal RNA", at positions 29 to 523 of the family's 1533-position model. The record is from RNAcentral.